RNAcentral lists this ribosomal RNA (585 nucleotides) under Bacillus wiedmannii. Its description in RNAcentral is "bacterial SSU rRNA". It matches the Rfam family "Bacterial small subunit ribosomal RNA", at positions 114 to 684 of the family's 1533-position model. The record is from RNAcentral. Lineage: Bacteria; Bacillati; Bacillota; Bacilli; Caryophanales; Bacillaceae.
CUCGUGGGUAACCUGCCCAUAAGACUGGGAUAACUCCGGGAAACCGGGGCUAAUACCGGAUAACAUUUUGAACUGCAUGGUUCGAAAUUGAAAGGCGGCUUCGGCUGUCACUUAUGGAUGGACCCGCGUCGCAUUAGCUAGUUGGUGAGGUAACGGCUCACCAAGGCAACGAUGCGUAGCCGACCUGAGAGGGUGAUCGGCCACACUGGGACUGAGACACGGCCCAGACUCCUACGGGAGGCAGCAGUAGGGAAUCUUCCGCAAUGGACGAAAGUCUGACGGAGCAACGCCGCGUGAGUGAUGAAGGCUUUCGGGUCGUAAAACUCUGUUGUUAGGGAAGAACAAGUGCUAGUUGAAUAAGCUGGCACCUUGACGGUACCUAACCAGAAAGCCACGGCUAACUACGUGCCAGCAGCCGCGGUAAUACGUAGGUGGCAAGCGUUAUCCGGAAUUAUUGGGCGUAAAGCGCGCGCAGGUGGUUUCUUAAGUCUGAUGUGAAAGCCCACGGCUCAACCGUGGAGGGUCAUUGGAAACUGGGAGACUUGAGUGCAGAAGAGGAAAGUGGAAUUCCAUGUGUAGCGGUGA